Molecule: ribosomal RNA, 274 nt
Filed under: uncultured bacterium
Lineage: Bacteria
Description: partial 16S ribosomal RNA
Rfam family: Bacterial small subunit ribosomal RNA
Source: RNAcentral
AUACGGAGGGUGCAAGCGUUAUUCGGAAUCACUGGGCGUAAAGCGUGCGCAGGCGGCUUGAUAAGUUGGAUGUGAAAGCCUACGGCUCAACCGUAGAACUGCAUCCAAAACUGUCAGGCUAGAGUGUGGGAGAGGAAGAUGGAAUUAGUUGUGUAGGGGUAAAAUCCGUAGAGAUAACUAGGAAUACCAAAAGCGAAGGCAAUCUUCUGGAACACUACUGACGCUGAGGCGCGAAGGCGUGGGGAGCAAACAGGAUUAGAAACCCCAGUAGUCC